CCUACGGGAGGCAGCAGUGAGGAAUAUUGGUCAAUGGACGAGAGUCUGAACCAGCCAAGUAGCGUGAAGGAUGACUGCCCUAUGGGUUGUAAACUUCUUUUAUAUGGGAAUAAAAUGUUCCACGUGUGGGAUUUUGUAUGUACCAUAUGAAUAAGGAUCGGCUAACUCCGUGCCAGCAGCCGCGGUAAUACGGAGGAUCCGAGCGUUAUCCGGAUUUAUUGGGGUUAAAGGGAGCGUAGGUGGAUUGGUAAGUCAGUUGUGAAAGUUUGCGGCUCAACCGUAAAAUUGCAGUUGAAACUGGCAGUCUUGAGUACAGUAGAGGUGGGCGGAAUUCGUGGUGUAGCGGUGAAAUGCUUAGAUAUCACGAAGAACUCCGAUUGCGAAGGCAGUUCACUGGACUGCAACUGACACUGAGGCUCGAAAGUGUGGGUAUCAAACAGGAUUAGAUACCCUAGUAGUC
Molecule: ribosomal RNA, 460 nt
Filed under: uncultured bacterium
Lineage: Bacteria
Description: partial 16S ribosomal RNA
Rfam family: Bacterial small subunit ribosomal RNA
Source: RNAcentral